AACGAACGCUGGCGGCAUGCCUAACACAUGCAAGUCGAACGAGACCUUCGGGUCUAGUGGCGCACGGGUGCGUAACGAGUGGGAACCUGCCCUUAGGUUCGGAAUACCUCCCCGAAAGGGGUGCUAAUAACGGAUAAUGUCUUCGGACCAAAGAUUUAUCGCCUUUGGAUGGGCCCGCGUUGGAUUCGCUAGUUGGUAGGGUAAAAGCCUACCAAGGCGACGAUCCAUAGCUGGUCUGAGAGGAUGAUCAGCCACACUGGGACUGAGACACGGCCCAGACUCCUACGGGAGGCAGCAGUGGGGAAUAUUGGACAAGGGGCGAAAGCCUGAUCCAGCAAUGCCGCGUGAGUGAUGAAGGCCUUAGGGUUGUAAAGCUCUUUUACCCGGGAUGAUAAUGACAGUACCGGGAGAAUAAGCUCCGGCUAACUCCGUG
RNAcentral lists this ribosomal RNA (433 nucleotides) under uncultured bacterium. RNAcentral describes it as "partial 16S ribosomal RNA". It matches the Rfam family "Bacterial small subunit ribosomal RNA", at positions 29 to 507 of the family's 1533-position model. The record is from RNAcentral.